UACGUAGGUGGCAAGCGUUGUCCGGAUUUACUGGGCGUAAAGAGCGCGCAGGCGGUCGGAUAAGUCGAAUGUGAAAGCCCCCGGCUCAACUGGGGAGGGUCAUUCGAUACUGUUCGACUCGAAGGCAGGAGAGGGAAGUGGAAUUCCCGGUGUAGUGGUGAAAUGCGUAGAUAUCGGGAGGAACACCAGUGGCGAAGGCGGCGACCUGGACAGUUACUGACACUCAACUACGAAAGCGUGGGGAGCGAACAGG
This 253-nucleotide ribosomal RNA is filed under the name uncultured bacterium. Its description in RNAcentral is "partial 16S ribosomal RNA". It matches the Rfam family "Bacterial small subunit ribosomal RNA", at positions 524 to 776 of the family's 1533-position model. The record is from RNAcentral.